This 113-nucleotide small nuclear RNA is filed under the name Mus pahari (shrew mouse). The record is from RNAcentral. Lineage: Eukaryota; Metazoa; Chordata; Mammalia; Rodentia; Muridae.
GUGCUCAACUUGGCAGCACAUAACACUAAACUAAAGCAAUAUAGAGAAGAUUAGUAUGGGCCCCAGCAUAAACAUAGCAGACAGAUUUGUGAAGUGUUCCAUGUGAACAAAAG